This 466-nucleotide ribosomal RNA is filed under the name uncultured bacterium. RNAcentral's name for it is "partial 16S ribosomal RNA". It matches the Rfam family "Bacterial small subunit ribosomal RNA", at positions 28 to 507 of the family's 1533-position model. The record is from RNAcentral.
GAUGAACGCUGGCGGCGUGCCUAACACAUGCAAGUCGAACGGAAAGGCCCUUGCUUGCAGGGGUACUCGAGUGGCGAACGGGUGAGUAACACGUGGGUGAUCUGCCCUGCACUUCGGGAUAAGCCUGGGAAACUGGGUCUAAUACCGGAUAGGACCAUCGUUUAGUGUCGGUGGUGGAAAGUUUUUUCGGUGUGGGAUGAGCUCGCGGCCUAUCAGCUUGUUGGUGGGGUAAUGGCCUACCAAGGCGUCGACGGGUAGCCGGCCUGAGAGGGUGUACGGCCACAUUGGGACUGAGAUACGGCCCAGACUCCUACGGGAGGCAGCAGUGGGGAAUAUUGCACAAUGGGCGCAAGCCUGAUGCAGCGACGCCGCGUGGGGGAUGACGGCCUUCGGGUUGUAAACUCCUUUCGUCAGGGACGAAGCGAAAGUGACGGUACCUGGAUAAGAAGCACCGGCUAACUACGUG